CAAUCUGAUCCACAGAUCUUGCAUCUUCAAAUGAAAUUAGAGAAAAUUUCCAAAUCAAGGCAUACCCCUCAGCUGUCACUCAUCUCUUCUCCUUUGCAUCCGGCUUGGUCUCCUCUCCUUUACAUAUGGCCUGGUCUGUUGGUCAGCACCGCAUCCGGCCUAGUUUCCUCUUCUUUGCAUCUGGCAUGCUCUCUUCUCCUUUGCAACCAGCUGCUCUGCUGGUCAGCAGUCAGCACCGUAUCCAGCCUUGUCUGUUGGUUAGCAUCGCCGGUCCGCUACCUGACCUACCUCCCCGUGGUACAUGGCUUCUUCAAAUGAGAAGACUAUUUCAUCAUCAAGUGGAAAAAGUGAUCCAUGUUGGAAAUAUGUUCAAUGCAUUAAUCCAAACAACAAGAAUGAUUUGAAAUGCAACUUUUGUAAUAAAGUUACAAAAGGGGGAAUAUUUAGAGCUAAACAACAUAUUGUGGGACGUUUUAGAAAUACAAGCAUUUGUCAAAGAUGCCCACCACCUGUGCGAGAAGAGAUUCAGUCUUAUAUGACAAAUAAGGCUAACGCAAGCAAGAUGUUUGAAGGUAAUUUUCCGGAUAAUAUUAUUGAAGUAGAUGCUUUUGGUGGUGAUGAAGAAGAUGAAGACGAAAAAACCAUUUUGAUGAGCUCGCGCCAAGGAACUAGUAAAAUUUUGAAUGCAAAGAAACGACAAUGACAAAAAAGGCCAAUAGAUUUAUACUUCACACAAAGUGCUAAAAAAUCAAGUAAAAGAGAAGGAAAUAUGAAGCAAACAACAAUCAAUGAUACUUGCAAGAAGGAGAUGCAGGAAAAAGCAUGUAGAGAAAUAGCCCGAUGGUUGUAUGAUGCAGCAAUUCCAUUUAAUGCCAUUAAAUAUCCUCAAUUUCAAGUAAUGAUCGAUGCAAUUGGUCAAUAUGGUAUAGGCAUGAAAGCACCUAACCACCAUGAGGUCCGCAUCUCCUUGCUUAAUAAAGAAAUGGAAGAUGGCAAAAAGAUACUACAAUCAUAUGAAGAAGAAUGGGCACAUUAUGGUUGCUCUAUAAUGGCUGAUGGUUGGACAAACAAGAGGAAUAGGACAUUGAUAAAUUUUUUGGUGAAUUCUCCAAAAAGAACUGUGUUCUUAGAAUCUAUUGAUGCUUCCAGUUAUGUGAAAACUGGAGAAAAAAUGUUUAAGUUGCUUGAUCACAUGAUCCAACGUGUCGGAGAGAAAAAUGUCAUACAAAUAGUUACUGAUAGCACAUCCGUUAAUGUCUUUACAGGUAAGCGCUUGGAAGAAAAAUAUAAGAAUUUGUUUUAGACUCCUUAUGCCGCACAUUGUUUGGAUUUAAUUUUGGAAGAUAUUGGUAAGAUGCCAAAUGUGAAAAGAACUGUACAAAAAAGAGCAAUCAACUUAAACUCCUUCAUUUAUGUUGGACCAGGCAUGGUUACUAUGUAUGUUAAGGAGUUUUACCAGUCAAAGAGAAUUUGUUAGGCCGGGUGUUACAAGGUUUGCCACGGCUUUUCUCACACUUCAACUAAUCCAUAAAUUGAAGAAUUGUUUAAGGAAAAUGUUUACUUCUGAAGAAUGGGAAAAGAGUAAGUGGUCAAAGGAAAUUGCCGGGAAAAAAGCACAAGCUAGUAUAAUGAUGACAAGAUUUUGGACAAGCAUUGUAUAUAUUUUAAAGAUUUUCGGUCCUCUAGUUGGUGUGCUUCGAUUGGUUGAUGGUGAGAAAAAAACUGCUAUGGGAUACAUUUAUGAAGCCAUGGAUAGGGUCAAGGAAGCUAUAGUAAAGUCGUUUGGAGAAAAUGAAGAACAAUACAAAGAUGUGUUUGAUAUCAUCCACAAACGAUGGGAAUGUCAACUUCAUCGACCUUUGCAUGCGGCUGGGCACUAUCUUAAUCCGGAAUUUUUUUAUGCCAACCCAAUGGAGAUUAUCAGGACUAGUGAGAUAAUGGAUGGAGUGCUUGAAACUCUAGGGAGAUUGGUUCUUGAUGCUUCAUGUCAAAACAAAAUCAACAAUCAAAUGAAUAUAUAUCAAAAUGCGGGUGGCAUAUUUGGAAGAAACUUGGCAAUUAGGAAUCGAAGUUUGAAAUCACCAGGUACGUAAGUUUUGUUAUAAAUUGAUAAGAUUUAACUUAUACUUUUGUGUAACUAACUUUGUUAUUAAUUAAUUUCAUUAAUUGCCGAAUGGUGGAAAUCUUAUGGAGCCUCAACUCCAGAGUUGCUAGAUUUUGCAAUCAAAGUGCUCAGUCUAACUUGUAGCGCAUCCGGUUGCGAGCAUAAUUGAAGUAUUUUUGAACAUGUUCAUACUUAAAAAAAGGAAUAGAUUUGAUCAACAAAAGUUGAAUGAUUUGGUCUUCGUGAAAUAUAACCGAGCACUAAAGUGUCGAUAUGAUGACCGUGAUCGCAUUGACCCCAUUUCUUUAUAAGAUAUUAAUGAUGCAAAUGAGUGGUUGAUGGGUACGCUAGAACAAGAGCAAGGAGACAACGAACUAGUGUUUGGUGAUGAUGACCUUACUUGGGAUGCAGUUGAAAGAACGGCGGGGGUUGAUGAAAACACAUAUACUACUCAAGGUCGAGAAAAAGGAAAAGGAAUAAAUACUACUGCUUCAAGUUCAAGGCCAUCAAAGGAGAAAGAGAAGGCAAUGAAGCCAUCAUUUGCUAGUUUGAGAACCCCCUUAAUUUCUAGAGAUGGCAAUGAUGAGGAAGAAAAUCUUGGAGAUGACUAUUUUAAUGAAGAGAAUGAUGAAUUUGAAGAGAAAUUUGAUGGAGUUGGUGAUGAUGAUGAUUAUGAAGCACUUGAUGGUUUUGAAUAAUUUGAUGAUGAAAGUGAUUAGUGGCUAGAUUUUUAUUAUGA
This is a long non-coding RNA of Dioscorea cayenensis subsp. rotundata (Guinea yam), 2843 nucleotides long. RefSeq lists it as uncharacterized. The transcript is spliced from 4 exons. NCBI's taxonomy places the organism in Eukaryota, Viridiplantae, Streptophyta, Magnoliopsida, Dioscoreales, Dioscoreaceae. The record is from RefSeq and is a predicted model, not a curated record.